RNAcentral lists this RNase P RNA (312 nucleotides) under bovine gut metagenome. RNAcentral's name for it is "Bacterial RNase P class B". It matches the Rfam family "Bacterial RNase P class B". From Rfam's summary of the family: Ribonuclease P (RNase P) is a ubiquitous endoribonuclease, found in archaea, bacteria and eukarya as well as chloroplasts and mitochondria. The record is from RNAcentral. RNAcentral also lists the same sequence under 1 other name.
AGACAAUCGCUGAACCUUCAGAGGAAAGUCCAUGCUCGCACAUCCUGCGAUGGAUGUAGUGAUUAUGCCAAGUCAAACAAUAAGCUUGGGCAGCUGCGGCUGACGGCUGGUGCGUUUCCUAAAGAGAAAUCCAUGGAAACAGCCUGUAAAAGUGUCAAAGAGACGAGCUGUGCAGAAAUGUACAGGUGGAACGCGAUAAACCCCAUAAGCGAGAAACCCAAAUUUGGUAGGGGAACCUGCAAUAACGAAAUGAAGUGAUUUGCGGGGCAGAAAUGCAGAUAAAUGAUUGUCCAGUACAGAACAUGGCUUAUU